Molecule: long non-coding RNA, 767 nt
Filed under: Pan troglodytes (chimpanzee)
Lineage: Eukaryota; Metazoa; Chordata; Mammalia; Primates; Hominidae
Description: long non-coding RNA NONPTRT013680
Source: RNAcentral
UCAUAAAUAUAUAAAAUCAUUUAUUCAUUAAUAAAUUUAUUGAGAACAAGUAUAUUCUAACGUGUGCCAUGCUUUUAGGAUAUAAUGGCAAGCAAUACCAAGCUGUUCCCUAACUUCACAGAGCUUAUAUUACAGUCUAACAGGUAGCACAGACAAUUAAAAAAGCAAUUUUUUAUAAAAGUGUUGGAUCCUAUUGUGAACUAACACUGCCUGCCUGCUUAACAUCCUUCAGUUGGAGAACUUUUUCUCCCAUCUUUCUGAUCCUAGUGAAGUUAUCCAUUGCCAUGGCCUAGCACCCUGCAACACCACCACAGCCCUAUCACCACUACAGGGGAGAGUAUGUUACUAAAUUAGGCCUCUCAGGGUACUUGUUGAGAUUUGUAAAAGGAGCUGGGAUUGCAAGGGCCUGCCCUCUUUUGGAAUUUUGAGUUAUGUGGAUAUAGGUUUGAGAAAUUUUACUACACUGGAGAGUAGGGUUUCCAGAGUUGACAAAUAAAAAUAGAAGAUGUCAUCAUUCAUGCAACCAAAAAACACUUAUUGGGCACCUACUAUAUGCCAGGCACUGUUCCAGGAGCUAGGAAUUCAUCAGUGAACCAGAUUAAAAUCUCUGCCCCAUGAAGCUUACUUUCUAGUAGACAGAGAAAUUAAUAAGCAAUAUUAAUCAGUAAAAUCUAUGAUGUAUUAAAGAGUGAUGGUGAAACCCUGUCUCUACUAAAGAUACAAAAAAAUUUAGCUGGGUGUGGUGGAGGGCACCUGUAGUCCCAGCU